Molecule: long non-coding RNA, 388 nt
Filed under: Nicotiana benthamiana
Lineage: Eukaryota; Viridiplantae; Streptophyta; Magnoliopsida; Solanales; Solanaceae
Description: long non-coding RNA (NBEN_LNC008552)
Source: RNAcentral
GCACACGUACACAACUAAAACAGAAUACGCAAAAGGUGCAAGAUAGAUAACAACAAAAUAGACCACAAUCGAACUGAAAGCUAAAAUAUGUAAGAAGUUACACAAAGUAAACAAGGGGGCGGGAGGUACCAAUUCCCGGUAGAAAAACCUGAAAGUAUGCUUUGAUGCGCCCAAUUUCUCCUGAAGCUUAUCAGAACGUGUGGUUCUAUUGCGUCCUGCUGCUAGUCUGAACGGUAGUCUCCGAGGCUGCUGUGGAAACUGAAAGCUAAAAUAUGUAAGAAGUUAUACAAAGUAAACAAGGGGCGGGAGGUACCAAUUCCCGGUACAAAAACCUGAAAGUAUGCUUUGAUGCGCCCAAUUUCUCCUGAAGCUUAUCAGAACGUGUGGU